UGGGGAAUAUUGCACAAUGGGGGAAACCCUGAUGCAGCGACGCCGCGUGAGCGAAGAAGGCUUUCGAGUCGUAAAGCUCUGUCCUAUGAGAAGAUAAUGACGGUAUCAUAGGAGGAAGCCCUGGCUAAAUACGUGCCAGCAGCCGCGGUAAUACGUAUGGGGCGAGCGUUGUCCGGAAUUAUUGGGCGUAAAGGGUACGUAGGCGGUUUUUUAAGUCAGGUGUCAAAGCGUGGAGCUUAACUCCAUUAAGCACUUGAAACUGAAAGACUUGAGUGAAGGAGAGGAAAGUGGAGUUCCUAGUGUAGCGGUGAAAUGCGUAGAUAUUAGGAGGAAUACCGGUGGCGAAGGCGACUUUCUGGACUUUUACUGACGCUCAGGUACGAAAGCGUGGGGAGCAAACAGG
This 403-nucleotide ribosomal RNA is filed under the name Verrucomicrobiota bacterium. RNAcentral describes it as "Verrucomicrobia bacterium partial 16S ribosomal RNA". It matches the Rfam family "Bacterial small subunit ribosomal RNA", at positions 355 to 776 of the family's 1533-position model. The record is from RNAcentral. Lineage: Bacteria; Pseudomonadati; Verrucomicrobiota.